This 515-nucleotide ribosomal RNA is filed under the name uncultured bacterium. RNAcentral's name for it is "bacterial SSU rRNA". It matches the Rfam family "Bacterial small subunit ribosomal RNA", at positions 15 to 518 of the family's 1533-position model. The record is from RNAcentral.
GAUUAUGGCUCAGGAUGAACGCUAGCUACAGGCUUAACACAUGCAAGUCGAGGGGCAUCAUGAGAUUAGCUUGCUAAUCUUGAUGGCGACCGGCGCACGGGUGAGUAACGCGUAUCCAACCUUCCCUAUACUAGAGGAUAGCCCGGCGAAAGUCGGAUUAAUACUCUAUGUUCUUCGUAGAUGACAUCUGAAAUGAAGCAAAGAUUUAUCGGUAUAGGAUGGGGAUGCGUCUGAUUAGAUAGUAGGCGGGGUAACGGCCCACCUAGUCGACGAUCAGUAGGGGUUCUGAGAGGAAGGUCCCCCACAUUGGAACUGAGACACGGUCCAAACUCCUACGGGAGGCAGCAGUGAGGAAUAUUGGUCAAUGGGCGAGAGCCUGAACCAGCCAAGUAGCCGUGCAGGAUGACGGCCCUAUGGGUUGUAAAUUGCUUUUAUACAGGGAUAAAGUGAGGGACGUGUCCCUUUUUGUAGGUACUGUAUGAAUAAGGACCGGCUAAUUCCGUGCCAGCCGCUGC